UACGUAGGGUGCGAGCGUUAAUCGGAAUUACUGGGCGUAAAGCGUGCGCAGGCGGUUUUGUAAGCCAGAUGUGAAAGCCCCGGGCUUAACCUGGGAAUGGCAUUUGGGACUGCAAGGCUGGAGUGUGGCAGAGGAGACUGGAAUUCCUGGUGUAGCAGUGAAAUGCGUAGAUAUCAGGAGGAAUACCGGUGGCGAAGGCGGGUCUCUGGGCCGAAACUGACGCUGAGGAGCGAAAGCGUGGGGAGCAAACAGG
Molecule: ribosomal RNA, 253 nt
Filed under: uncultured bacterium
Lineage: Bacteria
Description: partial 16S ribosomal RNA
Rfam family: Bacterial small subunit ribosomal RNA
Source: RNAcentral